AAAGGGAGACCUAAUUCAGGUAGGAGACGAAAAAAAAGUAGUCGCUACCAAGAAUCAAUCCCAAAAGGUCGGAGCGAGGCGAAAUUGGCUUUCAAACUAGGUUCUGGGUUCACACAAGACCUGAAUCAGGAACAAGGGCUAUUAGCUCAGGUGGUUAGAGCGCACCCCUGAUAAGGGUGAGGUCCCUGGUUCGAGUCCAGGAUGGCCCACCUGCACAGGUGGCAAAAACAAGAGAAGCGAGGAAUCAGCACCUUAUCUUACUGACAUAGUAAGAGAGAAUGCUGGCUCUGAGUACAGAGUCCAGAGGAACCUUGAAAACUGCAUAGAGCUAGGUGAAAAAGCCAAAAAAGAAGACCGCAAG
Molecule: transfer RNA, 361 nt
Filed under: uncultured Microcystis sp.
Lineage: Bacteria; Bacillati; Cyanobacteriota; Cyanophyceae; Chroococcales; Microcystaceae
Description: partial 16S-23S ribosomal RNA intergenic spacer
Rfam family: tRNA (bases 136-209)
Source: RNAcentral